This 372-nucleotide ribosomal RNA is filed under the name uncultured bacterium. Its description in RNAcentral is "bacterial SSU rRNA". It matches the Rfam family "Bacterial small subunit ribosomal RNA", at positions 524 to 898 of the family's 1533-position model. The record is from RNAcentral.
GACGAAGGAUGCAAGCGUUAUCCGGAUUCAUUGGGUUUAAAGGGAGCGUAGGUGGCCUUAUAAGUCAGUGGUGAAAUCCUGUUGCUUAACAGCAGAAUUGCCAUUGAUACUGUAGGGCUUGAGUAUAGUUGCCGUUGGCGGAAUAUGACAUGUAGUGGUGAAAUACAUAGAGAUGUCAUAGAACACCGAUUGCGAAGGCAGCUAACGAAACUAUAACUGACACUGAGGCUCGAAAGUGCGGGGAUCAAACAGGAUUAGAUACCCUGGUAGUCCGCACUGUAAACGAUGAUUACUCGCUGCUAGAGGGCAACUUUUAGUGGCUUAGCGAAAGCGAUAAGUAAUCCACCUGGGGAGUACGCCGGCAACGGUGAA